RNAcentral lists this ribosomal RNA (2906 nucleotides) under Enterobacter hormaechei. RNAcentral's name for it is "23S ribosomal RNA". It matches the Rfam family "Bacterial large subunit ribosomal RNA". Lineage: Bacteria; Pseudomonadati; Pseudomonadota; Gammaproteobacteria; Enterobacterales; Enterobacteriaceae. The record is from RNAcentral.
GGUUAAGCGACUAAGCGUACACGGUGGAUGCCCUGGCAGUCAGAGGCGAUGAAGGACGUGCUAAUCUGCGAAAAGCGCCGGCGAGGUGAUAUGAACCCUUGACCCGGCGAUGUCCGAAUGGGGAAACCCAGUGCAAUUCGUUGCACUAUCGUUAACUGAAUACAUAGGUUAACGAGGCGAACCGGGGGAACUGAAACAUCUAAGUACCCCGAGGAAAAGAAAUCAACCGAGAUUCCCCCAGUAGCGGCGAGCGAACGGGGAGCAGCCCGGAGUCUGAAUCAGCUUGUGUGUUAGUGGAACGGUCUGGAAAGUCCGACGGUACAGGGUGAUAGUCCCGUACACGAAAGCACACAUGCUGUGAACUCGAAGAGUAGGGCGGGACACGUGGUAUCCUGUCUGAAUAUGGGGGGACCAUCCUCCAAGGCUAAAUACUCCUGACUGACCGAUAGUGAACCAGUACCGUGAGGGAAAGGCGAAAAGAACCCCGGCGAGGGGAGUGAAAAAGAACCUGAAACCGUGUACGUACAAGCAGUGGGAGCCUCUUUAUGGGGUGACUGCGUACCUUUUGUAUAAUGGGUCAGCGACUUAUAUUCUGUAGCAAGGUUAACCGUAUAGGGGAGCCGAAGGGAAACCGAGUCUUAACUGGGCGUUAAGUUGCAGGGUAUAGACCCGAAACCCGGUGAUCUAGCCAUGGGCAGGUUGAAGGUUGGGUAACACUAACUGGAGGACCGAACCGACUAAUGUUGAAAAAUUAGCGGAUGACCUGUGGCUGGGGGUGAAAGGCCAAUCAAACCGGGAGAUAGCUGGUUCUCCCCGAAAGCUAUUUAGGUAGCGCCUCGUGAACUCAUCUUCGGGGGUAGAGCACUGUUUCGGCUAGGGGGCCAUCCCGGCUUACCAACCCGAUGCAAACUACGAAUACCGAAGAAUGUUAUCACGGGAGACACACGGCGGGUGCUAACGUCCGUCGUGAAGAGGGAAACAACCCAGACCGCCAGCUAAGGUCCCAAAGUCAUGGUUAAGUGGGAAACGAUGUGGGAAGGCACAGACAGCCAGGAUGUUGGCUUAGAAGCAGCCAUCAUUUAAAGAAAGCGUAAUAGCUCACUGGUCGAGUCGGCCUGCGCGGAAGAUGUAACGGGGCUAAACCAUGCACCGAAGCUGCGGCAGCGACACUUAUGUGUUGUUGGGUAGGGGAGCGUUCUGUAAGCCGUUGAAGGUGUGCUGUGAGGCAUGCUGGAGGUAUCAGAAGUGCGAAUGCUGACAUAAGUAACGAUAAAGCGGGUGAAAAGCCCGCUCGCCGGAAGACCAAGGGUUCCUGUCCAACGUUAAUCGGGGCAGGGUGAGUCGACCCCUAAGGCGAGGCCGAAAGGCGUAGUCGAUGGGAAACAGGUUAAUAUUCCUGUACUUGGUGUUACUGCGAAGGGGGGACGGAGAAGGCUAUGUCAGCCGGGCGACGGUUGUCCCGGUUUAAGCAUGUAGGCGGAGGUUCCAGGUAAAUCCGGUACCUUGUUAACGCUGAGGUGUGAUGACGAGGCACUACGGUGCUGAAGUGAUAAAUGCCCUGCUUCCAGGAAAAGCCUCUAAGCAUCAGGUAACACGAAAUCGUACCCCAAACCGACACAGGUGGUCAGGUAGAGAAUACCAAGGCGCUUGAGAGAACUCGGGUGAAGGAACUAGGCAAAAUGGUGCCGUAACUUCGGGAGAAGGCACGCUGAUGUGUAGGUGAAGCCCCUGCGGGUGGAGCUGAAAUCAGUCGAAGAUACCAGCUGGCUGCAACUGUUUAUUAAAAACACAGCACUGUGCAAACACGAAAGUGGACGUAUACGGUGUGACGCCUGCCCGGUGCCGGAAGGUUAAUUGAUGGGGUUAGCGGCAACGCGAAGCUCUUGAUCGAAGCCCCGGUAAACGGCGGCCGUAACUAUAACGGUCCUAAGGUAGCGAAAUUCCUUGUCGGGUAAGUUCCGACCUGCACGAAUGGCGUAAUGAUGGCCAGGCUGUCUCCACCCGAGACUCAGUGAAAUUGAACUCGCUGUGAAGAUGCAGUGUACCCGCGGCAAGACGGAAAGACCCCGUGAACCUUUACUAUAGCUUGACACUGAACACUGGUCCUUGAUGUGUAGGAUAGGUGGGAGGCUUUGAAGCGUGGACGCCAGUCUGCGUGGAGCCAACCUUGAAAUACCACCCUUUAAUGGCUGGUGUUCUAACGUAGACCCGUAAUCCGGGUUGCGGACAGUGUCUGGUGGGUAGUUUGACUGGGGCGGUCUCCUCCCAAAGAGUAACGGAGGAGCACGAAGGUUGGCUAAUCCUGGUCGGACAUCAGGAGGUUAGUGCAAUGGCAUAAGCCAGCUUGACUGCGAGCGUGACGGCGCGAGCAGGUGCGAAAGCAGGUCAUAGUGAUCCGGUGGUUCUGAAUGGAAGGGCCAUCGCUCAACGGAUAAAAGGUACUCCGGGGAUAACAGGCUGAUACCGCCCAAGAGUUCAUAUCGACGGCGGUGUUUGGCACCUCGAUGUCGGCUCAUCACAUCCUGGGGCUGAAGUAGGUCCCAAGGGUAUGGCUGUUCGCCAUUUAAAGUGGUACGCGAGCUGGGUUUAGAACGUCGUGAGACAGUUCGGUCCCUAUCUGCCGUGGGCGCUGGAGAAUUGAGGGGGGCUGCUCCUAGUACGAGAGGACCGGAGUGGACGCAUCACUGGUGUUCGGGUUGUCAUGCCAAUGGCACUGCCCGGUAGCUAAAUGCGGAAGAGAUAAGUGCUGAAAGCAUCUAAGCACGAAACUUGCCCCGAGAUGAGUUCUCCCUGAGACUUUAAGUCUCCUGAAGGAACGUUGAAGACGACGACGUUGAUAGGUCGGGUGUGUAAGCGCAGCGAUGCGUUGAGCUAACCGAUACUAAUGAACCGUGAGGCUUAACCUU